AUUAUUUUAGCAAAUUAUAAAUGCAUUAAAUUUAGAAUUUAAAAUAAAUAACUAAUCAUUAUAAAUAAUA
RNAcentral lists this transfer RNA (70 nucleotides) under Orthogonalys pulchella. RNAcentral's name for it is "tRNA-Leu". The record is from RNAcentral. Lineage: Eukaryota; Metazoa; Arthropoda; Insecta; Hymenoptera; Trigonalidae.